CCUACGGGGGGCAGCAGUGGGGAAUAUUGGACAAUGGGCGAAAGCCUGAUCCAGCCAUGCCGCGUGUGUGAAGAAGGCCUUCGGGUUGUAAAGCACUUUCAGUGGGGAAGAAAGCCUUGGGGCUAAUACCCUCGAGGAAGGACAUCACCCACAGAAGAAGCACCGGCUAACUCCGUGCCAGCAGCCGCGGUAAUACGGAGGGUGCGAGCGUUAAUCGGAAUUACUGGGCGUAAAGCGCGCGUAGGCGGUCUGAUAAGCCGGUUGUGAAAGCCCCGGGCUCAACCUGGGAACGGCAUCCGGAACUGUCAGGCUAGAGUGCAGGAGAGGAAGGUAGAAUUCCCGGUGUAGCGGUGAAAUGCGUAGAGAUCGGGAGGAAUACCAGUGGCGAAGGCGGUCUUCUGGACUGACACUGACGCUGAGGUGCGAAAGCGUGGGUAGCAAACAGGAUUAGAUACCCGGGUAGUC
RNAcentral lists this ribosomal RNA (465 nucleotides) under Vreelandella stevensii. Its description in RNAcentral is "partial 16S ribosomal RNA". It matches the Rfam family "Bacterial small subunit ribosomal RNA", at positions 338 to 795 of the family's 1533-position model. The record is from RNAcentral. Lineage: Bacteria; Pseudomonadati; Pseudomonadota; Gammaproteobacteria; Oceanospirillales; Halomonadaceae.